This 99-nucleotide transfer RNA is filed under the name Chloroflexota bacterium. RNAcentral describes it as "Chloroflexi bacterium tRNA-Sec". It matches the Rfam family "Selenocysteine transfer RNA". Lineage: Bacteria; Bacillati; Chloroflexota. The record is from RNAcentral. RNAcentral also lists the same sequence under 1 other name.
GGGGAUGUUCGAGAGCUGGUGCUCUCCGCGGUCUUCAAAACCGUUUGCGGGGCGCUGUGAGGCGUCCUGGGUGGGUUCGAUUCCCAUCCAUCCCCGCCA